GCGGACCCCGCCUCGUCCUACUCCACUGUUUCUCCCCGAGGUGAGAGAAUGGAUCCGGGAGAACUCAGCGCCAGAGAGCGCGAGCCCGGGUUCCGCGCUCGCUGUGAACGCGCCACGCACGCCGCUUCUCUGCUCAACGGAAAGAGAUUCCCGCCGCUGCGGCCUCUUGAGAGCGGUAGGAAUAUGACUACCCCAUAGGAUUGGUGUGAGAGGAAGAGGCAGAACACAAAUGGGGACGAGCAGAACAUGGAAGAUUUCAACCUACAGAUGUUGUAAACUUGAAAUUGCUGUCUUUAAUAACUGGGAAAGCCUGCUUCAGAAUGAAUUCUAUCUACACAGGGUGGUCACGAAUGGAUGUGAGAGUUGGACUGUGAAGAAAGCUGAGUGCUGAAGAAUUGAUACUUUGAACUGUGGUGUUGGAGAAGACUCUUGAGAAUCCCUUGGAC
Bos taurus (domestic cattle) is the source of this 446-nucleotide long non-coding RNA. The record is from Ensembl. Lineage: Eukaryota; Metazoa; Chordata; Mammalia; Artiodactyla; Bovidae.